AGCAUAUCAAUAAGCGGAGGAAAAGAAACUAACCAGGAUUCCCCUAGUAACGGCGAGUGAAGCGGGAAGAGCUCAAAUUUGUAAUCUGGCGGCUUACGGUCGUCCGAGUUGUAGUCUGGAGAAGCGUUUUCCGUGUCGGACCGUGUACAAGUCCUUUGGAACAGGGCGUCGUAGAGGGUGAGAAUCCCGUCUUUGACAUGGACUGCCGAUGCUUUGUGAUGCGCUCUCGAAGAGUCGAGUUGUUUGGGAAUGCAGCUCAAAACGGGUGGUAAAUUCCAUCUAAAGCUAAAUAUUGGCGAAAGACCGAUAGCGAACAAGUACCGUGAGGGAAAGAUGAAAAGCACUUUGGAAAGAGAGUUAAACAGUACGUGAAAUUGUUGAAAGGGAAACGUUUGAAGUCAGUCGCGUCUCCUGGGAUUCAGCCUUGCAUUUGCUGCUCGGUGUAUUUCCUGGGGCGACGGGCCAGCAUCGAUUUUGAUCGUCGGAAAAAGGCUUUGGGAAUGUGGCACCUCUCGCGGGGUGUGUUAUAGCCCUGGGUCGUAUGCGACGGUUGGGAUCGAGGACCGCAGCACGCCUUUUUGGCCGGGGUUCGCCCACGUAACGUGCUUAGGAUGCUGGCGUAAUGGCUUUAAGCGACCCGUCUUGAAACACGGACCAAGGAGUCUAACAUGCCUGCGAGUGUUUGGGUGGAAAACCCGGACGCGGAAUGAAAGUGAAAGGUUGGGACCCCUGUCGUGGGGGGCACCGACGCCCGGACCAGACCUUUUGUGACGGUUCCGAGGUAGAGCAUGCAUGCUGGGACCCGAAAGAUGGUGAACUAUGCCUGAGUAGGGUGAAGCCAGAGGAAACUCUGGUGGAGGCUCGUAGCGAUUCUGACGUGCAAAUCGAUCGUCGAACUUGGGUAUAGGGGCGAAAGACUAAUCGAACCAUCUAGUAGCUGGUUCCUGCCGAU
RNAcentral lists this ribosomal RNA (952 nucleotides) under Ramaria conjunctipes var. sparsiramosa. RNAcentral describes it as "eukaryotic LSU rRNA". It matches the Rfam family "Eukaryotic large subunit ribosomal RNA", at positions 37 to 965 of the family's 3401-position model. Lineage: Eukaryota; Fungi; Basidiomycota; Agaricomycetes; Gomphales; Gomphaceae. The record is from RNAcentral.